UGCUAUGACGCUGACCAAAUCUCCCU
RNAcentral lists this non-coding RNA (26 nucleotides) under Rattus norvegicus (Norway rat). The record is from RNAcentral. Lineage: Eukaryota; Metazoa; Chordata; Mammalia; Rodentia; Muridae.